UAGGGAAUAUUAGUAAUCUGGGAAACCGGGAACUAGCAACGCCGCGUGUGCGAUGAAGGCCUUCGGGUUGUAAAGCACUUUUUAAGGGAAUGAGAAAGGACAGUACCCUUAGAAUAAGUCUCGGCUAACUACGUGCCAGCAGCCGCGGUAAGACGUAGGAGACGAGCGUUAUUCGGAUUUACUGGGCGUAAAGCGCGUGCAGGCGGUUUGGUAAGUUGGAUGUGAAAGCUCUCGGCUCAACCGGGAGAGGUCGUUCAAAACUGCCAGACUAGAGAAUAGGAGAGGGAGGUGGAAUUCCGGGUGUAGUGGUGAAAUGCGUAGAUAUCCGGAGGAACACCAGUGGCGAAGGCGACCUCCUGGCCUAUUUCUGACGCUCAGACGCGAAAGCUAGGGUAGCAAA
This 400-nucleotide ribosomal RNA is filed under the name uncultured bacterium. RNAcentral describes it as "bacterial SSU rRNA". It matches the Rfam family "Bacterial small subunit ribosomal RNA", at positions 355 to 772 of the family's 1533-position model. The record is from RNAcentral.